AUUGAACGCUGGCGGCAUGCCUUACACAUGCAAGUCGAACGGUAACAGGUUAAGCUGACGAGUGGCGAACGGGUGAGUAAUAUAUCGGAACGUGCCCAGUCCUGGGGGAUAACGUAGCGAAAGCUACGCUAAUACCGCAUACGAUCUACGCAAGAAAACGAGGGCACGCAAGACCGCGCGCGAUUGGUUCGGCCGGUAUCAGAUUAGGUUGUUGGUGAGGUAAAAGCUCACCAAGCCUGCGAUCUGUAGCUGGUCUGAGAGGACGACCAGCCCCACUGGAACUGAGACACGGUCCAGACUCCUACGGGAGGCAGCAGUGGGGAAUUUUGGACAAUGGACGCAAGUCUGAUCCAGCAAUGCCGCGUGCAGGACGAAGGCCUUCGGGUUGUAAACUGCUUUUGUACGGAACGAAACGGUGAGCUCUAAUACAGUUUGCUAAUGACGGUACCGUAAGAAUAAGCACCGGCUAACUACGUGCCAGCCGCCGCAGUAA
This 493-nucleotide ribosomal RNA is filed under the name uncultured bacterium. RNAcentral's name for it is "partial 16S ribosomal RNA". It matches the Rfam family "Bacterial small subunit ribosomal RNA", at positions 30 to 523 of the family's 1533-position model. The record is from RNAcentral.